Molecule: ribosomal RNA, 164 nt
Filed under: uncultured bacterium
Lineage: Bacteria
Description: partial 16S ribosomal RNA
Rfam family: Bacterial small subunit ribosomal RNA
Source: RNAcentral
UAGGGAAUCUUCCACAAUGGACGAAAGUCUGAUGGAGCAACACCGCGUGAGUGAAGAAGGGUUUCGGCUCGUAAAACUCUGUUGUUAAAGAAGAACAUAUCUGAGAGUAACUGUUCAGGUAUUGACGGUAUUUAACCAGAAAGCCACGGCUAACUACGUGCCAG